GGUUGUUCGUCAGCUCGUGUCGUGAGAUGUUGGGUUAAGUCCCGCAACGAGCGCAACCCUUGAUCUUAGUUGCCAGCAUUCAGUUGGGCACUCUAAGGUGACUGCCGGUGACAAACCGGAGGAAGGUGGGGAUGACGUCAAAUCAUCAUGCCCCUUAUGACCUGGGCUACACACGUGCUACAAUGGACAGAACAAAGGGCAGCGAAACCGCGAGGUUAAGCCAAUCCCACAAAUCUGUUCUCAGUUCGGAUCGCAGUCUGCAACUCGACUGCGUGAAGCUGGAAUCGCUAGUAAUCGCGGAUC
This 303-nucleotide ribosomal RNA is filed under the name Bacillus subtilis. RNAcentral describes it as "bacterial SSU rRNA". It matches the Rfam family "Bacterial small subunit ribosomal RNA", at positions 1047 to 1350 of the family's 1533-position model. Lineage: Bacteria; Bacillati; Bacillota; Bacilli; Caryophanales; Bacillaceae. The record is from RNAcentral.